This 1339-nucleotide long non-coding RNA is filed under the name Malus domestica (apple). RNAcentral's name for it is "long non-coding RNA (MDOM_LNC008090)". Lineage: Eukaryota; Viridiplantae; Streptophyta; Magnoliopsida; Rosales; Rosaceae. The record is from RNAcentral.
CCCACACAUGAUAAAUAGAAGUACAUGAAUAUAUUUCAUAAUCAUGUCCACAUCAUUAGGUUCAAAUAAAAAACACGAAAUUUUGAGCUACCCACUCGUAUUGAAAAAAGUCAAAAACAAAAACAGAGAUAAAGAUCCCAACUUCACAAAAGCUGCCAUAGAUAUGAUCCUAACUGCUCAAACUAUAAAGGUCGUACCCAGUGCACAAGGCUCCCGCUUUACGCAGGGUCUGGGAGAGGUGAAUGUCGGCUAGCCUUACCCCCAUUUAUGGAGAGGCUGCUCCCAAGUCUCGAACCCGAGACCUAAACAAUGAAAUUCAUGGAACAGGAAAUGUUUUUGGAUACACAAUGAAGCACGAUGUCCAGCUGUAAUUAUUUCAAGAGAGCUUCUAGCGAUAACCCAAAUUGCAAAAAACUAAAAAUAAAAGUUUCAUGAAUUUUAUAAUGAAAAGAAAAAUAAGCAAAAACUUUGGACUAAAAGGACUCAUUUUCUUUCAUCUUAUAAAAAUCUUGAACUUUAAAAAUUCAUCCACCUCCUACUAUUAGGAACAACGGCUUUUCUUUUCAAUCUGCCUCACCGCAGUCCCCAGUAAACCAGACCAUGGCGAUACACAUAUAAAGACUACAAUGACGAGAAAUGAAACCACACGGUAGGAUUAGCAGAAGCGUGAUGCCCUAUUACCUAUAUAACUUUUGUUCAGAAAAGGUACAUUUUUGCCAUAUCAAAGAGAGGCUUCUUCACAAAACCCGAGUCUGAAAGUAGUUUAUACUUUAUACACAUGAUAUAUAAAUUUGAUUGCACAACCACUGUACAGUCCCUAGUAUACUUUUUGUUGACAGCAACUUCAGAAAUGAAUAUCAAAAUGAUUCCUAUAACCCAAAAAUGAUCACUAAAACUGUAUCUUCACUGCAUACAUGCAUGAAUAAAUUGAUCCGUAAUUCCGUAUAGUAUUCGGACUAAACUAUGACUGAACUCGAUGCAACACAUUCACACGAUCCAACACAUCAUCAAUAAAUGACCUCAAACACAAAAAUCGAAACACGAAAACAGAAUAUGAACAAUCAAUGCUUACAACAAUUCUGUCAUGACAAUACACAGAUACUACUAGAUCUCCAAUCCCAGACACUCCUCAGCCUACCAGCAAAGCCAGAUCAGGACACAGUUCUACAAACCAAGCCAAUCACAGAUGCCAAAAUUCCCACGGCAAAAAUCACUAAAACUCGAAAUCCCCAACAGAAAUACCAAAAAACUCACCAAUUCAUUGACUUUACAUACAAAUCAAAGAAAAACAAACAAACCCAUCUGAGGAAAUGAUCAACAAAAACAACCCAGAUUUAAA